RNAcentral lists this ribosomal RNA (629 nucleotides) under Colletotrichum gloeosporioides. Its description in RNAcentral is "LSU rRNA". It matches the Rfam family "Eukaryotic large subunit ribosomal RNA", at positions 36 to 687 of the family's 3401-position model. Lineage: Eukaryota; Fungi; Ascomycota; Sordariomycetes; Glomerellales; Glomerellaceae. The record is from RNAcentral.
AAGCAUAUCAAUAAGCGGAGGAAAAGAAACCAACAGGGAUUGCCUCAGUAACGGCGAGUGAAGCGGCAACAGCUCAAAUUUGAAAUCUGGUCCUUGCGGCCCGAGUUGUAAUUUGCAGAGGAUGCUUUUGGCGCGGUGCCUUCCAAGUUCCCUGGAACGGGACGCCUUAGAGGGUGAGAGCCCCGUACGGUUGGACACCAAGCCUUUGUAAAGCUCCUUCGACGAGUCGAGUAGUUUGGGAAUGCUGCUCUAAAUGGGAGGUAUAUUUCUUCUAAAGCUAAAUACCGGCCAGAGACCGAUAGCGCACAAGUAGAGUGAUCGAAAGAUGAAAAGCACUUUGAAAAGAGGGUUAAACAGCACGUGAAAUUGUUAAAAGGGAAGCGCUUGUGACCAGACUUGCGCCCGGUGAAUCACCCAGCUCUCGCGGCUGGGGCACUUUGCCGGCUCAGGCCAGCAUCAGCUUGCCGUCGGGGACAAAAGCUUCGGGAACGUAGCUCUCUUCGGGGAGUGUUAUAGCCCGUUGCAUAAUACCCUUCGGCGGGCUGAGGUACGCGCUCCGCAAGGAUGCUGGCAUAAUGGUCAUCAGCGACCCGUCUUGAAACACGGACCAAGGAGUCAACCUUAUGUGC